CGGGAUGCAAACUAAGAUCAAUCCCUGGUGGUUGCAGCCGUUGCAAGAGAAUGUGGCAGCUUCUUGAGCUUCAUUCACGUAUUUGCGUAGACUCGGAACAAUGUAAAGUCCCUCUUUGCAGUAACUUCAAGGAGAGGAUGAAGACACAGAGCAGGAAAGAUGAGAAAAGAUGGAAACUUCUAGUGAAGAAUGUUUUGAGCACUAAGAGGAUUGGAGGAUCCCCAUACUUUUUGCAGGCAAUUGAUGUUACUCUAUGACAUUAUUUUAUCGCUUAUCGAUACAAAAUUGCAUAUUUUACACAUGUAUAUAGGUUACAGAUUCUUUGUAAAGAUAGAUCCGAUAUUCAAAAUUCAGCGUCUGAAAACAACCUCACUUUCAAACCAGGUUUGGCUUGUGAGCACGCUGACCUAAAGGCACUCAAACACACAAUCCUUUAAUCUCUCGUUACCGAAAACAAUUUUCAAGGAACAGAACAUACCUUGUUAUUUACAUGAUGAGUGGUCAUUAGCUCAUAGAGUUUACGCAUCAUCAUCUCAUGUUCAACCUGUUUAAUGAUCUCUGAUAUUUAAUUACAUGACAACAAGAUCAUUAAAAAAGAGUUCUAAGUAUAUACAUCUACUACAUCAUGAUGGUUGCUAAUUAGCUAUAGCGUUUUGGUCUUGGGAGAGACAAUAGAAUGAAGCACAUUAGGGAAAAGAAUUCGCGCAGAGACUAGAAAAUUG
RNAcentral lists this long non-coding RNA (722 nucleotides) under Capsella rubella. Its description in RNAcentral is "long non-coding RNA (CRUB_LNC001236)". The record is from RNAcentral. Lineage: Eukaryota; Viridiplantae; Streptophyta; Magnoliopsida; Brassicales; Brassicaceae.